GUGGGGAAUAUUGGACAAUGGGCGAAAGCCUGAUCCAGCCAUGCCGCGUGUGUGAAGAAGGUCUUCGGAUUGUAAAGCACUUUAAGUUGGGAGGAAGGGCAGUAAGUUAAUACCUUGCUGUUUUGACGUUACCGACAGAAUAAGCACCGGCUAACUUCGUGCCAGCAGCCGCGGUAAUACGAAGGGUGCAAGCGUUAAUCGGAAUUACUGGGCGUAAAGCGCGCGUAGGUGGUUUUGUAAGUUGGAGGUGAAAUCCCCGGGCUCAACCUGGGAACUGCCUCCAAAACUGCAUGACUAGAGUACGGUAGAGGGUAGUGGAAUUUCCUGUGUAGCGGUGAAAUGCGUAGAUAUAGGAAGGAACACCAGUGGCGAAGGCGACUACCUGGACUGAUACUGACACUGAGGUACGAAAGCGUGGGGAGCAAACAGGAUUAGAAACUCGGGUAGUCC
This 450-nucleotide ribosomal RNA is filed under the name uncultured bacterium. RNAcentral describes it as "partial 16S ribosomal RNA". It matches the Rfam family "Bacterial small subunit ribosomal RNA", at positions 354 to 796 of the family's 1533-position model. The record is from RNAcentral.